Molecule: ribosomal RNA, 301 nt
Filed under: uncultured bacterium
Lineage: Bacteria
Description: partial 16S ribosomal RNA
Rfam family: Bacterial small subunit ribosomal RNA
Source: RNAcentral
CAGUCGCCGCGGUAAUACGUAGGGUGCAAGCGUUAAUCGGAAUUACUGGGCGUAAAGCGUGCGUAGGUGGUGGUUUAAGUCCGUUGUGAAAGCCCUGGGCUCAACCUGGGAAUUGCAGUGGAUACUGGGUCACUAGAGUGUGGUAGAGGAUAGUGGAAUUUCCGGUGUAGCAGUGAAAUGCGUAGAGAUCGGAAGGAACAUCUGUGGCGAAGGCGACUAUCUGGGCCAACACUGACACUGAGGCACGAAAGCGUGGGGAGCAAACAGGAUUAGAUACCCGCGUAGUCCCUGUCUCUUAUAC